Molecule: ribosomal RNA, 802 nt
Filed under: uncultured bacterium
Lineage: Bacteria
Description: bacterial SSU rRNA
Rfam family: Bacterial small subunit ribosomal RNA
Source: RNAcentral
UUAGAGUUUGAUCCUGGCUCAGGACGAACGCUGGCGGCAUGCCUAAUACAUGCAAGUCGAACGCUGAAGCACUCUGCUUGCAGAGUGCGGAUGAGUGGCGAACGGGUGAGUAACACGUGGGGAAUCUGCCUAGGAGUGGGGGAUAACAUUCGGAAACGGAUGCUAAUACCGCAUAUCUUCUUAGACCGCAUGGUCUAUGAAUGAAAGACGGCUUUGCUGUCGCUCUUAGAUGAUCCCGCGGCGUAUUAGUUAGUUGGUGGGGUAAAGGCCUACCAAGACAAUGAUACGUAGCCGACCUGAGAGGGUGAUCGGCCACACUGGGACUGAGACACGGCCCAGACUCCUACGGGAGGCAGCAGUAGGGAAUCUUCCACAAUGGGUGCAAACCUGAUGGAGCAAUGCCGCGUGAAUGAAGAAGGUCUUCGGAUCGUAAAGUUCUGUUAUUAGUGAAGAACAAAUCGAGGAGUAACUGUCUCGAUUUUGACGGUAACUAACCAGAAAGUCACGGCUAACUACGUGCCAGCAGCCGCGGGUAUACGUAGGUGACAAGCGUUGUCCGGAAUUAUUGGGCGUAAAGGGAGCGCAGGCGGUUGGAAUAGUCUGAUGUGAAAGCCCUCGCUUAACCGUGGAAUGUCCUUGGAAACUGUCCAACUUGAAUGCAAAAAAGGUAAGUGAAAUUCCAUGUGUACCGGUGAAUGCUUAAAUUUUGGAGGAACCCCGGGGGCGAGGGCACUUUCUGGUUUGUGAUUGAGUUAAAGCUCCAAAGCGGGGGUAACCAAAAGGAUUAAAUCCCUGGUAAUCC